RNAcentral lists this long non-coding RNA (420 nucleotides) under Pogona vitticeps (central bearded dragon). RNAcentral describes it as "lncRNA (ENSPVIG00000008921.1)". The record is from RNAcentral. Lineage: Eukaryota; Metazoa; Chordata; Lepidosauria; Squamata; Agamidae.
GCAGUGGUAUGAUGGAGAAGGGUGUGUGCUUCCAUCUGUGAAACCCCAGAAAGCCCUAGGAUAUGGGGCUCCCUGCCUCACCCUAAAGCUUGCAGAUGUAUACUAAUGAAUGACAGAUUGGCCAAGUUAUGGGUCUGGAGUCAAGAGUACAACUCCCACAGUCCACAUGGCCAUGCUGAGCAUAGAAUUCAAGGAAUUAUAGUCGCCCCUCCCCAAAGGGAUUCUGGAGGUUGCAGUCUAGAAAAGUAAUUUCCCCAAACUCUGGUUAUGGUUGGAGACAGAGGAUUAACUUGGACCUACUCCUGAUCUGAUUCAGAACAGAAAGAUAUUCUACAGCAAGUCAGAAUCAACAUAGGAACAAGAUGGAGGAAAUUAUGUGAUGUAUCAAUUCAAAAUAAAAAGAAAAGGGUCAUAUAUACA